UCCGAUUAAUCAUAAUUAAUUUAAUUUAGAUUAGGGAUAUACUUUACAUUUAUAAUUUCCUAAGUUUAUAAUCAUCAAAACCGAUUGGACAACCAAUGACGUAUUUAAAGGAACCCUUUUGGGGAUACAACAGAUCUCGAACAUGGUCAAUUGGAAGAAAAAAAACAACAGGGCAAACAGAAUAUUCCAAUCUUUACAAACUCUUAAAAAUACUAAAGAUCUCUAAAAAAACGUUCAUACUGAAAUGAAACAAUAAUAUUUUUUGAAGACCAUGAUAUAGAACUAGAAGAUAUGAAUUCUAAUUCAACAAAGUUAACAUAUUAUGAUGUUUAUAUAUUUUUAGCCUAGUAUCUGAAAGUGUCACAUCUACUACAUGUCAUUUAACUAUAUUCGACAAAAGAUUCUUCAAGAUAUCU
Gordionus sp. m RMFG-2023 is the source of this 416-nucleotide long non-coding RNA. RefSeq lists it as uncharacterized. The transcript is spliced from 3 exons. The record is from RefSeq and is a predicted model, not a curated record. Lineage: Eukaryota; Metazoa; Nematomorpha; Gordioida; Chordodea; Parachordodidae.